This 515-nucleotide ribosomal RNA is filed under the name uncultured Glomus. RNAcentral describes it as "bacterial SSU rRNA". It matches the Rfam family "Eukaryotic small subunit ribosomal RNA", at positions 569 to 1085 of the family's 1831-position model. Lineage: Eukaryota; Fungi; Glomeromycota; Glomeromycetes; Glomerales; Glomeraceae. The record is from RNAcentral.
AGCAGCCGCGGUAAUUCCAGCUCCAAUAGCGUAUAUUAAAGUUGUUGCAGUUAAAAAGCUCGUAGUUGAAUUUCGGGGUCAGUAGGCUGGUCAUGCCACAGGUAUGUACUGGUCUCACUGAUUCCUCCUUCCUGAUGAACCGUAAUGCCAUUAAUUUGGUGCUGCGGGGAAACUGGACUGUUACUUUGAAAAAAUUAGAGUGUUUAAAGCAGGCUAACGCUUGAAUACAUUAGCAUGGAAUAAUGAAAUAGGACGUUCGAUCCUAUUUUGUUGGUUUCUAGGAUUGACGUAAUGAUUAAUAGGGAUAGUUGGGGGCAUUAGUAUUCAAUUGUCAGAGGUGAAAUUCUUGGAUUUAUUGAAGACUAACUACUGCGAAAGCAAUUUGCCAAGGAUGUUUUCAUUAAUCAAGAACGAAAGUUAGAGGUUCGAAGGCGAUCAGAUACCGCCCUAGUUCUAACCAUAAACGAUGUCGACUGGCGAUCCGCUAUCGUUAAACUGAAUAGACUUAGCGGGCG